AGUCAGCCCAGAAAAACACCCACUGCUGGAAAUAAAUCUUUUUGCUAUAUGCAUUUUUUUCUCAUUGAACAGACUGGAAUUGUGACCACUACCUCGAUGAGCUCUGUGGAAUCAGAAAUUCUCUGUGGACCUGGACUCUUCUGCACGGAGGCCAGAGGCUGAAUGAAGAUCACACUUAAACAUUCAAAUAAAGCUCCACCGGGCACAAUGUUGAUGUCAGCGCAGAAAGAAAUGACUCCCUGCAAUGUGAAUGUGAAAUUUCAAUUCCAACGAUAAACUGACAGACAGACAGAGACAGUUGGCAGACCAGACCUGGAUACGUACUGGUUUCUGUAUUCCUGUCCUGGUUCUGUCCCAUUCUGCUAAAUCAAACUUUGAAGAAAGACGAUGUAAUUUUGACUGAACAGUGGCCACUGUGGCCACAAGGGGCGUCUGCAGGAGAACGCUAAGUGGUUGUUAUCUUCCAGUGUAUGGGCGUGUAUGACUGCAGUCCUGGAUGCUACGUUUAGUG
Chelmon rostratus (copperband butterflyfish) is the source of this 511-nucleotide long non-coding RNA. RefSeq lists it as uncharacterized. The transcript is spliced from 4 exons. The record is from RefSeq and is a predicted model, not a curated record. NCBI's taxonomy places the organism in Eukaryota, Metazoa, Chordata, Actinopteri, Chaetodontiformes, Chaetodontidae.